GACGACGAUGAUGAGUCUACAGACCUGUAAUGAUUUUUGCGGAUAUGAUCGCACUAUCAAAGAACAUCUAAGGGACUGAGUCGUC
Zingiber officinale is the source of this 85-nucleotide small nucleolar RNA. RefSeq annotates it as small nucleolar RNA SNORD25. The transcript has a single exon. Lineage: Eukaryota; Viridiplantae; Streptophyta; Magnoliopsida; Zingiberales; Zingiberaceae. The record is from RefSeq and is a predicted model, not a curated record.